UUCUCGAAAAGUUGUUCCGUGUUCCCAAACGUCUGCGUCUCUUCGUCUCCAACACUAUUUCUGUCAAUUUAUUUGUUCCGUACAUUGUUCAUAUUGUUUGUGAGCAUGAUCCCCCACCCGCUCUUUGCCACCACUUUCAUCACCACCUC
Non-coding RNA from Caenorhabditis elegans, 149 nucleotides. Lineage: Eukaryota; Metazoa; Nematoda; Chromadorea; Rhabditida; Rhabditidae. The record is from Ensembl.